This is a non-coding RNA of Paramuricea clavata, 609 nucleotides long. NCBI's taxonomy places the organism in Eukaryota, Metazoa, Cnidaria, Anthozoa, Malacalcyonacea, Plexauridae. The record is from the annotation of a GenBank genome assembly.
UUAAAAAUAAUCUUAAAGUCCUAGGCUGCAAUUACUUGUCACUGAGGUUCAUCAAGUGAAUUAAACAAAACAAAACAAUGUCAAUUAACACAAUCCCAUUAGACUGGAUUUUUUCGUUUUAUGUGCAGUGAAGAAGGGUGAUAGGUGAUUGGAGUUGGCAAUCUGAACUUUUUCCAGUUACUCUUUUGUACAUGUGUUUAAGCACAAGAUUGUAUGGUGGAUGUCUGAGUUUAUCUGUGAAUUCACAACCACAACCAUAACACUUUUUCACAUUGGACUGGUGACAGCAAUCUCAUAUGGAUGUGGUGAUCAUCCAGAAUGCCACUGCAGGUAUUGUUGCUGAUUCCAUGCUCCCAGGGCAGGCGGAAUAGUGAAAGAAGUAGGCCAAGGAUGGCUCUGGUUAGAGUAGGAGUGGAGAUUGGUGCUGUGGGUGUGAUGGAGGAGGCUGUCUGAUGAAUUAUGAGGGAGAGGAUGCUGCAAUGAUAUUGUAGGUUGUGGGAAAGGUAUGUUCAGUGGAUUAGUACCACCGAUUUGGUCAUCUUUAGGGUGGUUAAUAUUUGGGAUGGUCGAAGGUGGAAUUGGCUGACCUUGCACUUGGGCGAGUCUCGG